ACGAACGCUGGCGGCGUGCUUAACACAUGCCAGUCGAACGGAAAGGCUCUGCUUGCAGGGUACUCGAGUGGCGAACGGGUGAGUAACACGUGGGUGAUCUGCCCUGCACUUCGGGAUAAGCCUGGGAAACUGGGUCUUAUACCGGAUCGGAGCCAUUUUUAGGGUGAUGGGUGGAAAGGUUUUUCGGUGUAGGAUGAGCUCGCGGCCUAUCAGCUUGUUGGUGGGGUAAUGGCUUACCAAGGCGGCGACGGGUAGCCGGCCUGAGAGGGUGGACGGCCACAUUGGGACUGAGAUACGGUCCAGACUCCUACGGGAGGCAGCAGUGGGGAAUAUUGCACAAUGGGCGCGAGCGUGAUGCAGCGACGCCGCGUGGGGGAUGACGGCCUUCGGGUUGUAAACUCCUUUCGCUAGGGACGAAGCUUUUUGAGGCGGUACCUAGAUAAGAAGCACCGGCUAACUACGU
RNAcentral lists this ribosomal RNA (463 nucleotides) under uncultured bacterium. RNAcentral's name for it is "partial 16S ribosomal RNA". It matches the Rfam family "Bacterial small subunit ribosomal RNA", at positions 29 to 506 of the family's 1533-position model. The record is from RNAcentral.